RNAcentral lists this ribosomal RNA (1508 nucleotides) under Archimonocelis oostendensis. RNAcentral's name for it is "SSU rRNA". It matches the Rfam family "Eukaryotic small subunit ribosomal RNA", at positions 168 to 1702 of the family's 1831-position model. The record is from RNAcentral. Lineage: Eukaryota; Metazoa; Platyhelminthes; Proseriata; Archimonocelididae.
UACAUGCAACAAAGCCUUUCCCUUGCGGGAAGGGCGCACUUAUUAGAUCAAAACCAAUCGGGACUUGUCCCGUAGUUUUGAUGACUCUGGAUAAUUUUUCUGAUCGCACGGCCAUUGUGUCGGCGACGUAUCUUUCAAAUGUCUGCCCUAUCAACUUAAGAUGGUAGGCGAUUUGCCUACCAUGGUUAUAACGGGUAACGGGGAAUCAGGGUUCGAUUCCGGAGAGGGAGCCUGAGAAAUAGCUACCACAUCCAAGGAAGGCAGCAGGCGCGCAAAUUACCCACUCUCAGAAAGAGGAGGUAGUGACGAAAAAUAACGAUGCGGGACUCUUUCGAGGCCCCGUAAUUGGAAUGAGUACACUUUAAAUCCUUUAACGAGGAUCAAUUGGAGGGCAAGUCUGGUGCCAGCAGCCGCGGUAAUUCCAGCUCCAAUAGCGUAUAUUAAAGUUGUUGCAGUUAAAAAGCUCGUAGUUGGAUCUGAGGAACAGGAUGGAUGGUACACUUUAUGGUGCUACUGUCUGUUCAGCCUACAUAGUCGUGGAUAUCUUAGGUGCUCUUCAUUGAGUGCUUUUGGUGCCCGACGCAUUUACUUUGAAAAAAUUAGAGUGCUUAAAGCAGGCCUUGUGCUUGAAUAGUGUUGCAUGGAAUAAUGGAAUAGGACUUCGAUUCUAUUUUAUUGGUUUUCGGACUCGAAGUAAUGAUUAACAGGGACAGACGGGGGCAUUUGUAUGGCAGCGCUAGAGGUGAAAUUCUUGGACCGUUGCCAGACAAUCUACUGCGAAAGCAUUUGCCAAGAAUGUUUUCACUAAUCAAGAACGAAAGUCAGAGGUUCGAAGACGAUCAGAUACCGUCCUAGUUCUGACCAUAAAUGAUGCCAACUGACGAUCCAUAGCAGUUGCUUGUACGACUCUUUGGGCAGCCCCCGGGAAACCAAAGUUUUUGGGUUCCGGGGGAAGUAUGGUUGCAAAGCUCAAACUUGAAGGAAUUGACGGAAGGGCACCACCAGGAGUGGAGCCUGCGGCUUAAUUUGACUCAACACGGGAAAACUCACCCGGCCCGGACACUGUAAGGAUUGACAGAUUGACAGCUCUUUCUUGAUUUGGUGGUUGGUGGUGCAUGGCCGUUCUUAGUUGGUGGAGCGAUUUGUCUGGUUAAUUCCGAUAACGAGCGAGACUCUGACCUGCUAAAUAGAACGCUUGUAAAAGCAGGUGCAGACUUCUUAGAGGGACUAACGUUGUCUAAACGUAUGAGAAAGAGCAAUAACAGGUCUGUGAUGCCCUUAGAUGUUCGGGGCCGCACGCGCGCUACACUGACAGCAGCAGCUAGUUUGUUCCUGGACUGAAAAGUUUGGGUAACCUGAUUGAAACGCUGUCGUGACAGGGAUCGGGGCUUGUAAUUGUUCCCCGUGAACGAGGAAUUCCCAGUAAGCGCAAGUCAUAAGCUUGUGCUGAUUACGUCCCUGCCCUUUGUACACACCGCCCGUCGCUACUACCGAUUGAAUGGUUUAGU